RNAcentral lists this unclassified non-coding RNA (198 nucleotides) under Myriostoma coliforme. RNAcentral's name for it is "partial internal transcribed spacer region". The stretch from base 1 to 46 matches the Rfam family "Eukaryotic small subunit ribosomal RNA", at positions 1786 to 1831 of the family's 1831-position model. Lineage: Eukaryota; Fungi; Basidiomycota; Agaricomycetes; Geastrales; Geastraceae. The record is from RNAcentral.
AAGUCGUAACAAGGUUUCCGUAGGUGAACCUGCGGAAGGAUCAUUACUGAGGUUAAACAGGUCUUGAGACUCUUGUGUGCUCGACUUGUCAUAUCUAUACACACCUAUGUGCACUCUUAUAAAAGCCUGUUAUAUGCAUGUGUAUUUAGCUCUACGGAGUAAAUGUAACAACUUUCAACAACGGAUCUCUUGGCUUUU